CUCAGCAACUUUAUUAGGGCAGGUCAGUUGGUACAGGAGUCGGCGGAGGCAGAGUUGGGCUUAGCAGAAAGCCUGGAAGAUAAUGCUGGAAUGCAGAGGCACCGAGGAUGUGAUGCAGCAAGAAGGCCACUGUCUGCAAACCAGGAAGAGGGCUCUCACCAAGAACAGAAUCAGCCAGCACCUUGACCUUGGACUUCCAGCCUCCAGAACUGUACUUAUUGACAGCGCUCAUUUGCUGAUGGCACUCAUGUAUUCCCUUGUAUUCUUUUUAUUUUUUAAUUUUUCAGUAUUUAUGUAUUUAAUUGAGGUCACAUUAGUUUAUAAUACUAUAUAAAUUUCAUAUGUACAUCAUUGUAUUUUGGCUUCCGUAUAGAGUGCAUCAUGUACACCACCAAAAGUUUUGUUUCCAUCUGUCACCAUAUACACGUGCCCCUUGGCCCCUUUUUCCCUCUCCCACCCCCUGCCCCUGUGGUAACCACCAAUCUUCACUUGUAUUCUAUUAACUGUUUUUUGUAUAUACAUUGUUUUUCAUUGUUUGUCAUUUUAAUGAAAUCUUUGGAGGUGGGAGAGAUAAAUGCCUAUACUCAGCCUGCCUAUGAAGUCAGAGGAU
Molecule: long non-coding RNA, 610 nt
Filed under: Equus caballus (horse)
Lineage: Eukaryota; Metazoa; Chordata; Mammalia; Perissodactyla; Equidae
Description: lncRNA (ENSECAG00000056705.1)
Source: RNAcentral